RNAcentral lists this ribosomal RNA (253 nucleotides) under uncultured bacterium. RNAcentral's name for it is "partial 16S ribosomal RNA". It matches the Rfam family "Bacterial small subunit ribosomal RNA", at positions 524 to 776 of the family's 1533-position model. The record is from RNAcentral.
UACGAAGGGGGCUAGCGUUGCUCGGAAUCACUGGGCGUAAAGGGCGCGUAGGCGGGAUGGCAAGUCAGUCGUGAAAUCUCUCGGCUCAACCGAGAAACGUCGGCUGAUACUGCCGUUCUUGAGGGAUGCAGAGGAGACUGGAAUUCCCGGUGUAGCGGUGAAAUGUGUAGAGAUCGGGAGGAACACCGGUGGCGAAGGCGGGUCUCUGGGCAUUUCCUGACGCUGAGGCGCGAAAGCCAGGGGAGCGAACGGG